Non-coding RNA from Callorhinus ursinus (northern fur seal), 2731 nucleotides. The record is from RefSeq and is a predicted model, not a curated record. NCBI's taxonomy places the organism in Eukaryota, Metazoa, Chordata, Mammalia, Carnivora, Otariidae.
UUUUUUUUUUUUUUUUUUUACCUCCCCCGUAAACUGCCCAGAAACAUUUAGAUGGGGGUGCCUGCAACAAGAAGGAGAGCUAUCACCAAAGAUAACUUUGUUUUAUAUUAGAAAGACUUGUCUGCCUGGCGUGGCAAACAUCUGCUCUUCCCAUCCUCCUGUGAAAUGCCCUCCUCUCCUUGGACACCCCAAACCUCUCUCCUCUUCUCCUUAGCUCAGGCCGCCAGAAGAAUCUACAAGGGUAGAGGAAAAAGUUUCCCUCCCUGAGAGUUGGCAGAGUCGGCAGGAUUUACGUCCUUGUAGGGAUACUGCUCCCUCUGAGGCUGCUACAGCUGAGAGGUCCUGACGUGUCUGACAAGUACCAGCAGAAGAUAAGAAUUCUUUCCAUGAAGGCUUCCCAGAUCUCUGCCUGCAAGGAGGAGAAACCAUCAUUCGGGCAGAACGCAGGCAAAGGCACUACAAGCCUGCUGUUCAAGCUGGCCUCACAGACUGGCGAGCUCGUGGUUACCAGACCCGCAUCUGCUGAAACAAACUUGGCUGUGAGUCCCCUGUGUAAAAACUGGAUGAGGUUUUUCCUUUCAUCUUAUUCUAUGUCCUGAGAGCUUGGCUCUGUGACUAGUGAGAAUUUCUCUCUGUUCUCCACCAUCGGGAAGGUACGUCUACUGGUGUAUGUGGGUGGCCAGGGGAAUAGCCUGGGGUUCUGUGACACAAAGUCACAAGCAGCACUGUCUUCACCCAGCCAUGCCAGCUCUCAGGGGAGUUUGCCGUAAAGGGCCCCAGUCCUUAAGAAGCUUUGGUAGCCUCCACCUUAGUUUCUUUGGUAGUGCUGGGGAAGGCUCGUUUCAGUAGCACCUGCCUGGUGUCUCAGAUGAGCAGGUUUGUAGCUGGAGGCAUCUCACGUUCUUGCAGGAAACCAGGGACACUGCUGUCACUACACCAUCCUUACCACCUGUGCAACUAAGGCUUUUGCUUUCCUAGACAACCUUUGGCAGUGAACCUGCUGGAUCUCGUGAGGGCUGCGUAUUUUGCAUUCUCUUUUGGAAUGCUUUUUGCGUCCUCGGUCAAGCCAUAGAGAAGCUUAUUAGAGUCGCUGUUGAGAUUAAUAGGUCCCACUUGUCGAUGGCCAGAGGAUGGAUCUUUUGAAUUGGGAAAACUUCUAUAUUUGAGAAAUUUUGGAGAGCUCUCAUCCUAAACUAUCGCCUUAUUGGCACCUGUGGAAAAGACCAAAUUAAAAAGUGGAUACAACGAAUUAUAAUGGCUAGCCUUCGGUACUCCUUUUUAUGAGAUGAAAGAACAGAAAUUAGACUUAGAACAGAAAUUAAAACUCCGCAUUCAAUGUAAAUUCUUCCUCCUUAAAAUCCAAAGAAUUAAGCAUGCCACCUUUCAGCACACCUGCUUAUUUUAUGUCUAAAAACUGCUGUUCCAGAACCUGUAGGUACGAAAAACAAUCCUACUAAGCUUGUUCUGUGUCCUAAGAGCUUGGCUUGGCUUUCUAUCUGCCCGAGACCUACAGGGUCUUGGUUCUUUUGACUAUCUUUGGGAGUGACUCUGGAUCUUGAGAAGGUAGUAUCCUUGCACCCUCUUUGAAGACAUCUCUUCAUGCAUGAAGUUGUUCCAUAUUGCCCAAAUAUUUACCACUUGUCCCAGCUAAAAACUGACAAGAUAUUUAAAAUUUUUUUUGGGGGGGGAAAGGGUAGAAGUUCUCUGGCUAAAAGUUGAUUAGAAGUUGGAAGUGGAUGUUCAAAGCCAGAUAGGAUUUUGUAAAGUCUCUUCUCCAAAGCUGAAAGGAAACCAUGUGCCCACAGGAAGAGAAGCAAAUGGAUAUGAUGUAUCUGGAUGAGUAGAUCAGCCCUUUGAUAUCAUUUAGGCUGCAACUCAAUUUCUUGGAAAAAAAAAAUUGAGAACAACUGUUCUCAUAAGUCUUUGCAAAACUAAAAAAAAAAAAAAAUGUAACUCUAGAAGCAAUCCAAGGUCCAUCUAUUCCUUUUUACCAAUCUUAAAACUUCUCCUAUUUAUCUCAAAAGGUUUGUGAUUUAUUGGCCUUAGGAAACCCAAGUCCUUCUUGGAGGAACUUCCAUUCUUUCUUUGUCCCUUGAAGAUGUAAAUCUUACUAUAUCUUUGAAAUGUAAACACCCCAGGAGGUAUCUAAAAUAAUUCCCAUAUUUACCUAAAAGUAAAGGGGAAAAAGGAAAAGAAAUGCAAAGAAAAAGAGGCCUUUUAAAAAAUACAGAUUCCUUCACAGUUUCCAUAAGAUUACUGGGCAAGGACAAAUACAAAUCAGCCACAAAUCAGGCAUCUUCACUAAUAUGAAUAGUAAAAAGCUUUAGCCACCUGAGUGGGUAAACUUAACUUAUAAACUAGUGAGGUUCUGUUAUAUCUAAUGCAUUGCUAAAUUUUUAAAAUUAAAAGCUACAAGAUCUGUUUGUAUGUAUGUAUGUACAAUAUAGAUAUGAUAUUUUUCUACCCCCGGAUGGCAUUGCCAAAAUUAAUUUGUAAAAGAGCUCUGUUUAUUGAUUGGCUUAAAAUUAAGGGCUUAUAAAUUAAGCAUUUCUAAGUCUCAGGAAUAUGACAGAAACUAACCCUAAUGUUUUUCAAAUUUAUGUGAUCUAGGGUAUUUUCAGUUAAGUUUGCUGGUUUAAUUAAUACAGACAUGUCUUUAGAGUUAUCCACAUUAAGCAUAGUACUUGUAUUCCACUAAAAGUCAAAUAAAUUCAUGUUAUUUUUUUUACAA